RNAcentral lists this transfer-messenger RNA (400 nucleotides) under Bacteroidaceae. RNAcentral describes it as "Prevotella sp017627765 Standard tmRNA". It matches the Rfam family "transfer-messenger RNA". Rfam says of the family: Bacterial tmRNA, also known as 10Sa RNA or SsrA, is named for its dual tRNA and mRNA-like properties. Its role is to liberate the mRNA from a stalled ribosome. To accomplish this part of the tmRNA is used as a reading frame that ends in a translation stop signal. Lineage: Bacteria; Pseudomonadati; Bacteroidota; Bacteroidia; Bacteroidales. The record is from RNAcentral. RNAcentral also lists the same sequence under 1 other name.
GGGGUUGACUGGAUUUGACAGCAGGAUGAGAUGGUAUGUAAGCACGCGGAGUCACGACUGUAGACUCCAUAAUAAAUGCGGUCAAAAAAUUAAUUGGCAAUAACAAUUAUGCUCUCGCUGCCUAAUCGAAGAACAGUAGAUUACUGGCUUUAUCUGACUACAAGGUAGUUAGACGAGACGUUGCUCCGAGGAUGUUGUUCCGAAUCCGAAGAAUCAGCAGCGCAGGUUAAAUCGGAAAUAGUUGACUUAGGCCUUGAUAGGUCAAUGAAAAAUUAGAGGAUAAGGGUGUAGUUGGUGGUCUAGGUCUUGCUGCAUCACGAAAAUGAAGUCUAGAAUAAGCGUGUAGAAAGCAUAUGGUUUCCCUGUUUGGACGAGGGUUCGACUCCCUCCAGCUCCACAC